This 492-nucleotide ribosomal RNA is filed under the name Salmonella enterica subsp. enterica serovar Enteritidis. RNAcentral describes it as "partial 23S ribosomal RNA". The stretch from base 1 to 366 matches the Rfam family "Bacterial large subunit ribosomal RNA", at positions 161 to 565 of the family's 2925-position model. The record is from RNAcentral. Lineage: Bacteria; Pseudomonadati; Pseudomonadota; Gammaproteobacteria; Enterobacterales; Enterobacteriaceae.
AAUCCAUAGGUUAAUGAGGCGAACCGGGGGAACUGAAACAUCUAAGUACCCCGAGGAAAAGAAAUCAACCGAGAUUCCCCCAGUAGCGGCGAGCGAACGGGGAGGAGCCCAGAGCCUGAAUCAGCAUGUGUGUUAGUGGAAGCGUCUGGAAAGGCGCGCGAUACAGGGUGACAGCCCCGUACACAAAAGCGCAUGUGCUGUGAGCUCGAUGAGUAGGGCGGGACACGUGGUAUCCUGUCUGAAUAUGGGGGGACCAUCCUCCAAGGCUAAAUACUCCUGACUGACCGAUAGUGAACCAGUACCGUGAGGGAAAGGCGAAAAGAACCCCGGCGAGGGGAGUGAAAAAGAACCUGAAACCGUGUACGUACAAGCAGUGGGAGCCCCACCACCAAAGCAUUUGCUGUACCGCGUUGACGGAGCGAAGCGACGUCAAACCGAUAAAACAGCAGUGUAAAGUGAGCCGCAGGGCGCUUUGCGCGACAGCGCAAAGGC